Molecule: ribosomal RNA, 521 nt
Filed under: uncultured bacterium
Lineage: Bacteria
Description: bacterial SSU rRNA
Rfam family: Bacterial small subunit ribosomal RNA
Source: RNAcentral
AGAGUUUGAUCCUGGCUCAGAUUGAACGCUGGCGGAAUGCUUUACACAUGCAAGUCGAACGGCAGCACGGACUUCGGUCUGGUGGCGAGUGGCGAACGGGUGAGUAAUACAUCGGAACGUGCCCAGUCGUGGGGGAUAACGUAGCGAAAGCUACGCUAAUACCGCAUACGAUCUAAGGAUGAAAGCGGGGGAUCGCAAGACCUCGCGCGAUUGGAGCGGCCGAUGGCAGAUUAGGUAGUUGGUGGGGUAAAGGCCUACCAAGCCGACGAUCUGUAGCUGGUCUGAGAGGAUGAUCAGCCACACUGGGACUGAGACACGGCCCAGACUCCUACGGGAGGCAGCAGUGGGGAAUUUUGGACAAUGGGCGCAAGCCUGAUCCAGCCAUUCCGCGUGCAGGACGAAGGCCUUCGGGUUGUAAACUGCUUUUGUACAGAACGAAAAGCUCUGGGUUAAUACCCUGGGGUCAUGACGGUACUGUAAGAAUAAGCACCGGCUAACUACGUGCCAGCAGCCGCGGUAAU